GACGAACCGAGCGGACGUUAUUCGGAAUCACUGGGCUUAAAGGGCGCGUAGGCGGAUCAAAAAGUCAGGGGUGAAAUCCCACGGCUUAACCGUGGAAGUGCCUUUGAUACUGUUGAUCUCGAGGGAGGUAGGGGCGUGCGGAACUUCCGGUGGAGCGGUGAAAUGCGUAGAUAUCGGAAGGAACACCGGUGGCGAAAGCGGCGCGCUGGACCUCUUCUGACGCUGAGGCGCGAAAGCCAGGGGAGCAAACGGG
RNAcentral lists this ribosomal RNA (253 nucleotides) under uncultured bacterium. Its description in RNAcentral is "partial 16S ribosomal RNA". It matches the Rfam family "Bacterial small subunit ribosomal RNA", at positions 524 to 776 of the family's 1533-position model. The record is from RNAcentral.